Molecule: ribosomal RNA, 332 nt
Filed under: uncultured Bacillota bacterium
Lineage: Bacteria; Bacillati; Bacillota
Description: bacterial SSU rRNA
Rfam family: Bacterial small subunit ribosomal RNA
Source: RNAcentral
GACGAACGCUGGCGGCGUGCCUAAUACAUGCAAGUCGAGCGGAGAGAAGAAGCUUGCUUCUUCUCUUAGCGGCGGACGGGUGAGUAACACGUGGGCAACCUACCUUGUAGAUUGGGAUAACUCCGGGAAACCGGGGCUAAUACCAAAUAAUCCAUUUUGCUUCAUGGCGAAAUGUUGAAAGGCGGCUUCGGGCUGUCACUACAAGAUGGGCCCGCGGCGUAUUAGCUAGUUGGUAGGGUAAUGGCCUACCAAGGCGACGAUACGUAGCCGACCUGAGAGGGUGAUCGGCCACACUGGGACUGAGACACGGCCCAGACUCCUACGGGUGGCAG